GCAUGUCUCCGAAAAGCGGAAACCGCCUACGCGGGGAAAUCAGUCCACCGGACUGAUUUCUGAUCCCGCUUCGAUGCGUUGGAAAAUGCGACAAAUAUUCAAUCACCCUGCCACG
Molecule: unclassified non-coding RNA, 115 nt
Filed under: Brucella sp. 191011898
Lineage: Bacteria; Pseudomonadati; Pseudomonadota; Alphaproteobacteria; Hyphomicrobiales; Brucellaceae
Description: BASRCI153
Source: RNAcentral